Non-coding RNA from Struthio camelus australis, 712 nucleotides. The record is from RefSeq and is a predicted model, not a curated record. NCBI's taxonomy places the organism in Eukaryota, Metazoa, Chordata, Aves, Struthioniformes, Struthionidae.
CUCAAACCUCGCAGGGGGUUUCAUGGACAGAUCGGUUAAGCGUUUGCUGCUGGGUACGCUGACUUCUCGCAGUCUGUUCAUCACUUCUUUGUCCUUUUUUUGGGUGCUAUGGAAAUAUUUUGUGAUCUCUGAUGGGUUUUCACUGUACUGCCUCCUGGUGGGCCAGAGAGCUGUUAGUGGUGGUUGUUCCUUUCCUGGAGAAAUGGUGAGCCUGUCGACAGCCAGACUGCAAUAUUCAUGGGUGGAAGGGAAAUGGACAGUAAAUUGAUGAUGGGAGAGACCUUCCCUUUCUAUAGUCAUGUCUUGCUUAAGAGUUAUGAUUUGGUUAGCCUUAGGUAUUUAUUUAUCCAGUGGGAAGAAGCAGGCCUAAUGCGACCUUUACUCUGUAGAGCUUGUAUUUCAGAAGGGCCAUGCUGCAUGUUUUGGAGACAUCAUCUGAGUAAUGUUCCUUUUUCUUCCUCCCUCCCUAUAUCUUCCUCCCUCCCUUCUGCCGGCCACCUUCAGAAAACACCAUAUGGUAUUGUUGAAUCAAAUCCACGGAUAUUCCCAGGGGACAGAAUUUUAGAGACAGGAGAAAUUUUUCCACCCCUGAAAGAAGAUCCUGAGGAUCACCACUGAUGGUUAAAUGCUGAUUACCUUCUUCAACGAACAAGGCGAUAACUGCAGCUACUUUAUCUGUUCUAUAAAUGACUCUUUAUUCUGCAUCGCUUCA